AGGAGUGGCAGAGUGGCUUAAUGCAGCUACCUGAAAAGUAGCCAUACAGUAAUGUAUCAAGGGUUCGAAUCCCUUCUCCUCCG
RNAcentral lists this transfer RNA (83 nucleotides) under Saprospiraceae bacterium. RNAcentral describes it as "tRNA-Phe". It matches the Rfam family "tRNA". Rfam says of the family: Transfer RNA (tRNA) molecules are approximately 80 nucleotides in length. Their secondary structure includes four short double-helical elements and three loops (D, anti-codon, and T loops). Further hydrogen bonds mediate the characteristic L-shaped molecular structure. tRNAs have two regions of fundamental functional importance: the anti-codon, which is responsible for specific mRNA codon recognition, and the 3' end, to which the tRNAs corresponding amino acid is attached (by aminoacyl-tRNA synthetases). tRNAs cope with the degeneracy of the genetic code in two manners: having more than one tRNA (with a specific anti-codon) for a particular amino acid; and 'wobble' base-pairing, i.e. permitting non-standard base-pairing at the 3rd anti-codon position. The record is from RNAcentral. Lineage: Bacteria; Pseudomonadati; Bacteroidota; Saprospiria; Saprospirales; Saprospiraceae.